UACGUAGGGUGCAAGCGUUGUCCGGAUUUAUUGGGCGUAAAGAGCUCGUAGGCGGUUCAGCAAGUCGGGUGUGAAACCUCCAGGCUCAACCUGGAGACGCCACCCGAUACUGCUGUGACUUGAGUCCGGUAGGGGACCACGGAAUUCCUGGUGUAGCGGUGAAAUGCGCAGAUAUCAGGAGGAACACCGGUGGCGAAGGCGGUGGUCUGGGCCGGAACUGACGCUGAGGAGCGAAAGCGUGGGGAGCGAACAGG
Molecule: ribosomal RNA, 254 nt
Filed under: uncultured bacterium
Lineage: Bacteria
Description: partial 16S ribosomal RNA
Rfam family: Bacterial small subunit ribosomal RNA
Source: RNAcentral